UUCCGUAGGUGAAUCUGCGGAAGGAUCAUUACCGAGUGAGGGCCCUCUGGGUCCAACCUCCCACCCGUGUUUAUUUUACCUUGUUGCUUCGGCGGGCCCGCCUUAACUGGCCGCCGGGGGGCUUACGCCCCCGGGCCCGCGCCCGCCGAAGACACCCUCGAACUCUGUCUGAAGAUUGAAGUCUGAGUGAAAAUAUAAAUUAUUUAAAACUUUCAACAACGGAUCUCUUGGUUCCGGCAUCGAUGAAGAACGCAGCGAAAUGCGAUACGUAAUGUGAAUUGCAAAUUCAGUGAAUCAUCGAGUCUUUGAACGCACAUUGCGCCCCCUGGUAUUCCGGGGGGCAUGCCUGUCCGAGCGUCAUUGCUGCCCUCAAGCCCGGCUUGUGUGUUGGGCCCCGUCCCCCGAUCUCCGGGGGACGGGCCCGAAAGGCAGCGGCGGCACCGCGUCCGGUCCUCGAGCGUAUGGGGCUUUGUCACCCGCUCUGUAGGCCCGGCCGGCGCUUGCCGAUCAACCCAAAUUUUUAUCCAGGUUGACCUCGGAUCAGGUAGGGAUACCCGCUGAACUUAAGCAUAUCAAUAAGCGGAGGAA
Molecule: ribosomal RNA, 588 nt
Filed under: Penicillium sp. DCS523
Lineage: Eukaryota; Fungi; Ascomycota; Eurotiomycetes; Eurotiales; Aspergillaceae
Description: eukaryotic LSU rRNA
Rfam family: 5.8S ribosomal RNA (bases 208-360)
Source: RNAcentral